GCUGUCCCCAGCUGGAUGACGCCUUCCCCACCCAUGAUUGCACAAGCCUCAACUGCGAAGGGCACCUGCUCCUGCCGUCCUAUGUCUCUCGCUCACAGACACAAGGAGGGGGGUACAAAAGGAAUUUCCCCUUUCAUCCUUCCUCCAUGUCUUUCACUCCCCUGUCCUUGGCACUGGGCCAGCAGCUGCAGUUUCAGUCCUGAAGAGAGUUUGCAACCAACUGAUACUGAAUGAUUGAUAUGCACUUCUUUCUUCCAUCAUAAAGGGAGGUAGUUGGAAGAAGCCAAAGCUACACCGUGUUUCAAACAGCUGGAGAAUAGCACAAAUACUGGAGAAAAAAAACACAUGCAACAUCCUGUGAGCUGGCGUUUUCAUAGAAUUUAAAAAUAAAUGUCAAGAAACGG
RNAcentral lists this long non-coding RNA (404 nucleotides) under Chinchilla lanigera (long-tailed chinchilla). RNAcentral describes it as "lncRNA (ENSCLAG00000027088.1)". The record is from RNAcentral. Lineage: Eukaryota; Metazoa; Chordata; Mammalia; Rodentia; Chinchillidae.